CCUACGGGAGGCAGCAGUGGGGAAUAUUGCACAAUGGGCGCAAGCCUGAUGCAGCGACGCCGCGUGGGGGAUGACGGCCUUCGGGUUGUAAACCUCUUUCGACACGGACGAAGCCGUGAGGUGACGGUACGUGUAGAAGAAGCACCGGCCAACUACGUGCCAGCAGCCGCGGUAAUACGUAGGGUGCGAGCGUUGUCCGGAAUUACUGGGCGUAAAGAGCUUGUAGGCGGCUCGUCGCGUCGAUCGUGAAAACCUAUCCGCUCAACGGUGGGCUUGCGGUCGAUACGGGCGGGCUGGAGUACUGCAGGGGAGACUGGAAUUCCUGGUGUAGCGGUGAAAUGCGCAGAUAUCAGGAGGAACACCGGUGGCGAAGGCGGGUCUCUGGGCAGUAACUGACGCUGAGAAGCGAAAGCGUGGGUAGCGAACAGGAUUAGAUACCC
This 440-nucleotide ribosomal RNA is filed under the name uncultured bacterium. RNAcentral's name for it is "bacterial SSU rRNA". It matches the Rfam family "Bacterial small subunit ribosomal RNA", at positions 338 to 787 of the family's 1533-position model. The record is from RNAcentral.